GAUUAAGUUAUUAAGGGCGCACGGUGGAUGCCUUGGCACUAGAAGCCGAUGAAGGACGUUACUAACGACGAUAUGCUUUGGGGAGCUGUAAGUAAGCUUUGAUCCAGAGAUUUCCGAAUGGGGAAACCCAGCAUGAGUUAUGUCAUGUUAUCGAUAUGUGAAUACAUAGCAUAUCAGAAGGCACACCCGGAGAACUGAAACAUCUUAGUACCCGGAGGAAGAGAAAGAAAAUUCGAUUCCCUUAGUAGCGGCGAGCGAAACGGGAAGAGCCCAAACCAACAAGCUUGCUUGUUGGGGUUGUAGGACACUCUAUACGGAGUUACAAAGGACGACAUUAGACGAAUCAUCUGGAAAGAUGAAUCAAAGAAGGUAAUAAUCCUGUAGUCGAAAAUGUUGUCUCUCUUGAGUGGAUCCUGAGUACGACGGAGCACGUGAAAUUCCGUCGGAAUCUGGGAGGACCAUCUCCUAAGGCUAAAUACUCUCUAGUGACCGAUAGUGAACCAGUACCGUGAGGGAAAGGUGAAAAGCACCCCGGAAGGGGAGUGAAAUAGAACCUGAAACCGUGUGCUUACAAGUAGUCAGAGCCCGUUAAUGGGUGAUGGCGUGCCUUUUGUAGAAUGAACCGGCGAGUUACGAUUUGAUGCAA
This 646-nucleotide ribosomal RNA is filed under the name Staphylococcus aureus. Its description in RNAcentral is "partial 23S ribosomal RNA". It matches the Rfam family "Bacterial large subunit ribosomal RNA", at positions 1 to 643 of the family's 2925-position model. The record is from RNAcentral. Lineage: Bacteria; Bacillati; Bacillota; Bacilli; Caryophanales; Staphylococcaceae.